Non-coding RNA from Pelobates cultripes (western spadefoot toad), 203 nucleotides. NCBI's taxonomy places the organism in Eukaryota, Metazoa, Chordata, Amphibia, Anura, Pelobatidae. The record is from the annotation of a GenBank genome assembly.
UCGGCUUUAUAUUUUUUAGCCUUCUUGCCCAUGCUGUAAGACACACGUGGGACGUUAGAUAGCUGGUUAAUUUUUGCCGUUAUCGCCGAAAUUUGGUGUUUGGGUUAGCUGCUUAGGGUGCAGGAUGCGUCUCUCUCGGGUGCUGCCCCCCCCCCAGUAAUUGUCUUUAAACGGCAAUAAUAUUCCCAGUAAUGUAACUGCAG